This 425-nucleotide long non-coding RNA is filed under the name Carica papaya (papaya). Its description in RNAcentral is "long non-coding RNA (CPAP_LNC010061)". Lineage: Eukaryota; Viridiplantae; Streptophyta; Magnoliopsida; Brassicales; Caricaceae. The record is from RNAcentral.
GGUUCAUCUAGGUGGUACACACGAACCUAGGGGGCAGGUCUGGCCACAUCCUUCAACCACUGAGGGCAGUCCUUUAUAAGGUGUUGGGUUCUUUCGCAUCAAUAGCAGGUGUGAUUGAUACACUGACAGGGUAAUUCACCAUGCGAGCGGCCAUAAUAAUAACAUGGUUGGAAAGGUUAGGCAAGCUUUCUAGUAGGUGGAGGUAGGGCAGGGGGAAGGGCAACUCGGGCUCGUUUAUAAGGGUGGCUACUUACUGGGUUGGGCAAUCUUCAUCUGGGUUGUUAGGGUUAUUGUUGUCGGUUACGGACUCGGAAAAUGUGUUGGUGCUUGGCCGAAAUGCAAUUUUUGGACAACUGGGCAUGUUCUAGCACCUUGGCAUACGAGCUGAGUCUCAGCAUCGUAACCCAGUCAUAGAUAUAAGCAUG